CUGAGUUAGGGUCUUCUAGGCCCGAUCUCCAACCCUAUGUUUAACUAUCCUUGUUGCUUUGGCAGGCCCGUCUCUUGGGACCGCCGGAGGUUUUGCCUCUGGCCAGUGCCUGCCAGUAGCCAAUUUAAAUUCUUUAUAAUUAUGAAGUCUGAAUCUUUAAUUAAAUUAAUUA
This 172-nucleotide unclassified non-coding RNA is filed under the name uncultured fungus. Its description in RNAcentral is "sequence contains ITS1, 5.8S rRNA gene". Lineage: Eukaryota; Fungi. The record is from RNAcentral.